AUUGAACGCUGGCGGCAGGCUUAACACAUGCAAGUCGAGCGGGGUGAUGGUGCUUGCACUAUCACUUAGCGGCGGACGGGUGAGUAAUGCUUAGGAAUCUGCCUAUUAGUGGGGGACAACAUCUCGAAAGGGAUGCUAAUACCGCAUACGUCCUACGGGAGAAAGCAGGGGAUCACUUGUGACCUUGCGCUAAUAGAUGAGCCUAAGUCGGAUUAGCUAGUUGGUGGGGUAAAGGCUUACCAAGGCGACGAUCUGUAGCGGGUCUGAGAGGAUGAUCCGCCACGCUGGUACUGGGACACGGCCCAGACUCCGUCGGGAGGCAGCAGUGGGGAAUAUUGGACAAUGGGGGGAACCCUGAUCCAGCCAUGCUGCGUGUGUGAAGAAGGCCUUAUGGUUGUAAAGCACUUUAAGCGAGGAGGAGGCUUACCUAGUUAAUACCUGGGAUAAGUGGACGUUACUCGCAGAAUAAGCACCGGCUAACUCUGUGCCAGCCGCCGCCGUAA
RNAcentral lists this ribosomal RNA (503 nucleotides) under uncultured bacterium. RNAcentral describes it as "partial 16S ribosomal RNA". It matches the Rfam family "Bacterial small subunit ribosomal RNA", at positions 30 to 523 of the family's 1533-position model. The record is from RNAcentral.